CAGCUUGUUGGCGGGGUAACGGCCCACCAAGGCGUCGACGGGUAGCUGGUCUGAGAGGAUGAUCAGCCACACUGGGACUGAGACACGGCCCAGACUCCUACGGGAGGCAGCAGUGGGGAAUCUUGCGCAAUGGGCGAAAGCCUGACGCAGCAACGCCGCGUGGGGGAUGAAGGCCCUCGGGUUGUAAACCCCUUUCAGCAGGAACGAAAAUGACGGUACCUGCAGAAGAAGGCCCGGCCAACUACGUGCCAGCAGCCGCGGUAACACGUAGGGGCCAAGCGUUGUCCGGAUUUAUUGGGCGUAAAGAGCUCGUAGGCGGUUGGGUAAGUCGGGUGUGAAAACUCCAGGCUCAACUUGGAGACGCCACCCGAUACUGCUCUGACUUGAGUUCGGUAGGGGAGUGGGGAAUUCCUGGGGGUACGGGUGAAUG
RNAcentral lists this ribosomal RNA (430 nucleotides) under uncultured Actinomycetes bacterium. RNAcentral describes it as "SSU rRNA". It matches the Rfam family "Bacterial small subunit ribosomal RNA", at positions 242 to 688 of the family's 1533-position model. The record is from RNAcentral. Lineage: Bacteria; Bacillati; Actinomycetota; Actinomycetes.